RNAcentral lists this non-coding RNA (23 nucleotides) under Arabidopsis thaliana (thale cress). Lineage: Eukaryota; Viridiplantae; Streptophyta; Magnoliopsida; Brassicales; Brassicaceae. The record is from RNAcentral.
GCAAGCCUAUGAUUGAUAAGCUG